RNAcentral lists this long non-coding RNA (617 nucleotides) under Rattus norvegicus (Norway rat). RNAcentral describes it as "long non-coding RNA NONRATT022585". The record is from RNAcentral. Lineage: Eukaryota; Metazoa; Chordata; Mammalia; Rodentia; Muridae.
UGUAAUUCUUAGGUACCUUUAAUUCACUUGAGAGCCAUAAAGAAUAGACAGACAGAGUGAAACCUAGGUGUGUCUCCUUAAUUAAUUAUAAAUAACUUUUCUAGUAAAACCGUUAUAUAGCAAAACCGUUAGGACUUUUGAGUUCCAGCCCUGGAAUGAACAGACAGUAGAAUAGAAAUAAAGCAGAGGAGGCUAACAGGGUCAGCUCUGCCAGAGGUAAGCAAAGGGCUGCCAACAGCAAGGGAGGGACAAAAAUGUGUCCUGCCACCACGAGGCAAGUGUUAGAUUGUCCAGCACACACAGAAGGGAGCAUGGGUGAAGACAGCAGUGCUGUGCACUGCAUGGACAGGAAUGGAAGGGUGGGAUCUCACUGGUCAUGGGUCUAUUGGUGGCUAAGGACAGGAUGACUGAAUUAGUUCACAGAGACAAGAGUCAUACAAACCUCAAUAACACACACUUGAGGUUCUAAGCCAUCUUCGUCUACAGGUAUUAACGCCUGUCUCAUCACCCACUCUUGAAUUGCAUCUGUGAUGUGAGGGACAACUGAGAAAGAGAAAAGAAACCUGUGACUUGCACCAAACAAGUAGUAGGAUCAUAAAUAUACUUAAUGAAACCAA